GAGUUACUUUGAUAGAUAAUUUUAAGAGUUGAUGUUAUUUAAAUAUGGAUUAAAGCUUUUUAGUUUAUUUAAAAUGUUUACUUGUGGUGUAAAAGAAAAUUAAGCUAUAAUUUUAAUUUAUUUAUUUAUUAGUAUUGCAUACUAUUAUAAAAAAAUAUUGUUAUAACAAUUAAUAAAAAUAAAGAGUAGAAUUUUUUUUAUUUUUAUUGUUACGUAAUAAAAAAAUAAAGAAAUUAGGGUUGAAAAGUCGAUCUUUAUGAUAUUUGUUUAAAUUUAAUUAUUAGAAAAUUAUAAUUUUAAAAUUUAUUAAUGUAAAUUAAAAAGUUAUAGUAUUUUUAUUAUUAGUUUUAUAACAGUUUAUAAAUUUUUUAUCAAAGAUUUAUAAUUUAAUUAUUAAAAUUUUAAUAAUUAAAGUAUUUAUAAAUUAGUAAAUAAAACUUAAUUAUAUAAUAAGUUAAAAUUUAAUUAAAGAAAUUGAAUAUUAAUCAAAUGUUUUUUAAAGACUUAGACUUUAUUUUAAAGUUUGCUUCUGCCCAGUGAUAUGUUAAAUGGCAGUCUUAGCGUGAGGACAUUAAGGUAGCAAAAUAAUUUGUGCUUUUAUUGAGUUCCAGUAUGAAUGAAGUUAUUGGUUAAUUAUUUUUUAAUUUUAUUUUUGAAUUUAUAUUUUUAUAAAAAAGUUAAGUUAUAAUUAUCCAAAGAUAAGUCUUCGGAAAUUCUUUUAAGGUAAAUAUUAUUUAUUUAUUAUUAAAUUUUCUAGGGCAGAAUAUUAUAUAGUUAGUUUUUCUAUUAAUAAUAUAAUGAAUUACUCCGGAGUUACCAGAAAAUCAUAUCUAAUCCAGUUCUUAUGGUAAGAUAAGUUUUACAUCGAUGUUGUAUUUAAGUAAUUAGAAGAGGAGAAA
RNAcentral lists this ribosomal RNA (899 nucleotides) under Stilestrongylus sp. FAJ-2016. RNAcentral describes it as "partial 16S ribosomal RNA". The record is from RNAcentral. Lineage: Eukaryota; Metazoa; Nematoda; Chromadorea; Rhabditida; Heligmosomidae.